AAUUAAAUCGUGGGGAGCUUGCAGACAGGCUGAGAGGAAACUGUGCGUUUCGACCCGUAUACCUGAUUUGGGUAAUGCCAACGUAGGGAGACUUUGCUGGAUUCAG
Molecule: non-coding RNA, 106 nt
Organism: Anaerotruncus colihominis DSM 17241
Lineage: Bacteria; Bacillati; Bacillota; Clostridia; Eubacteriales; Oscillospiraceae
Source: Rfam